UGGGUGAACCUGCGGAAGGAUCAUUA
Molecule: non-coding RNA, 26 nt
Filed under: Drosophila melanogaster (fruit fly)
Lineage: Eukaryota; Metazoa; Arthropoda; Insecta; Diptera; Drosophilidae
Also listed under: 2 other names
Source: RNAcentral